This 253-nucleotide ribosomal RNA is filed under the name uncultured bacterium. RNAcentral's name for it is "partial 16S ribosomal RNA". It matches the Rfam family "Bacterial small subunit ribosomal RNA", at positions 524 to 776 of the family's 1533-position model. The record is from RNAcentral.
UACGUAGGGUGCAAGCGUUGUCCGGAAUCACUGGGCGUAAAGGGCGCGUAGGCGGCUUUUCAAGCGUGCGGUGAAAGCUCGGGGCUUAACUCCGAGUCUGCCGUGCGAACUGGGAGGCUUGAGUCUGGUAGAGGUCGAUGGAAUUCCGGGUGUAGCGGUGGAAUGCGUAGAGAUCCGGAAGAACACCGGUGGCGAAGGCGGUCGACUGGGCCAGUACUGACGCUGAGGCGCGACAGCGUGGGGAGCAAACAGG